This 329-nucleotide ribosomal RNA is filed under the name uncultured eukaryote. RNAcentral describes it as "partial 18S ribosomal RNA". It matches the Rfam family "Eukaryotic small subunit ribosomal RNA", at positions 1470 to 1796 of the family's 1831-position model. The record is from RNAcentral.
CCCUUAGAUGUCCUGGGCCGCACGCGCGCUACACUGAGUGUCUGAGAUACGAGUCUGCCUGGUCCGGCAAGGUCUAGGUAAUCGCUAAAAGACACAUCAUGCUUGGGAUAGAUUAUUGCAAAUAUUAAUCUUGAACGAGGAAUUCCUAGUAAGCGCAAGUCAACAGCUUGCGUUGAUUACGUCCCUGCCCUUUGUACACACCGCCCGUCGCUACUACUGAUUGGAUGUUUAAGCGAGGUUCUCGAACUGCUAGCGACUUAGCUUCGGUGAGGUCGCAGUGUGGGAAGUGAACCUAGCUUUGGUGUCUAGAGGAAGUAAAAGUCGUAACA